UUCAUAAUAACUAAACGAAUCGCAUGGCCUUGCGCCGGCGAUGGUUCAUUCAAAUUUCUGCCCUAUCAACUUUCGAUGGUAGGAUAGUGGCCUACCAUGGUAUCAACGGGUAACGGGGAAUUAGGGUUCUAUUCCGGAGAGGGAGCCUGAGAAACGGCUACCACAUCCAAGGAAGGCAGCAGGCGCGCAAAUUACCCAAUCCCGACACGGGGAGGUAGUGACAAUAAAUACUGAUACAGGGCUCUUUCGGGUCUUGUAAUUGGAAUGAGUACAAUUUAAAUCCCUUAACGAGGAACAAUUGGAGGGCAAGUCUGGUGCCAGCAGCCGCGGUAAUUCCAGCUCCAAUAGCGUAUAUUAAAGUUGUUGCAGUUAAAAAGCUCGUAGUUGAACCUUGGGCCUGGCUGGCCGGUCCGCCUCACCGCGUGUACUGGUCCGGCCGGGCCUUUCCUUCUGGGGAGCCGCAUGCCCUUCACUGGGCGUGUCGGGGAACCAGGACUUUUACUUUGAAAAAAUUAGAGUGUUCAAAGCAGGCCUUUGCUCGAAUACAUUAGCAUGGAAUAAUAGAAUAGGACGUGCGGUUCUAUUUUGUUGGUUUCUAGGACCGCCGUAAUGAUUAAUAGGGAUAGUCGGGGGCAUCAGUAUUCAAUUGUCAGAGGUGAAAUUCUUGGAUUUAUUGAAGACUAACUACUGCGAAAGCAUUUGCCAAGGAUGUUUUCAUUAAUCAGUGAACGAAAGUUAGGGGAUCGAAGACGAUCAGAUACCGUCGUAGUC
Molecule: ribosomal RNA, 771 nt
Filed under: fungal sp.
Lineage: Eukaryota; Fungi
Description: SSU rRNA
Rfam family: Eukaryotic small subunit ribosomal RNA
Source: RNAcentral